Parelaphostrongylus tenuis is the source of this 73-nucleotide non-coding RNA. Lineage: Eukaryota; Metazoa; Nematoda; Chromadorea; Rhabditida; Metastrongylidae. The record is from the annotation of a GenBank genome assembly.
GCCUCGGCGGUGUGGUGGUACAGCUCGCGUCCCCGGUAAGGAUGAAACGCGGGUUCGAUCCCUGCCUGAGGCC